This 140-nucleotide small nuclear RNA is filed under the name Saimiri boliviensis boliviensis (Bolivian squirrel monkey). Its description in RNAcentral is "U4 spliceosomal RNA (ENSSBOG00000002403.1)". It matches the Rfam family "U4 spliceosomal RNA". Rfam says of the family: U4 small nuclear RNA (U4 snRNA) is a component of the major U2-dependent spliceosome. The structure of U4 snRNA from yeast and human has been reported. The record is from Rfam by way of RNAcentral. Lineage: Eukaryota; Metazoa; Chordata; Mammalia; Primates; Cebidae.
AGCUUUGCACACUGGCAGUAUCACAGCCAAUGAGGUUUAUCUGAGAUGCAAUUAUUGUUAAUUGAAAACUUUUCCCAAUACCCCGCCAUGAUGACUUGAAAUAUAGUUGGCAUUGGCAAUUUUUUGCAGUCUCUAUGGGA